Molecule: ribosomal RNA, 493 nt
Filed under: uncultured bacterium
Lineage: Bacteria
Description: partial 16S ribosomal RNA
Rfam family: Bacterial small subunit ribosomal RNA
Source: RNAcentral
GACGAACGCUGGCGGUGUGCUUAACACAUGCAAGUGGUGCGACGAACCAGAGCUUGCUCUGGGGCAAAGCCGCGAACGGGUGAGUAACACGUGGGUAAUCUACCCCGAUGACCGGGACAACCCGAGGAAACUCGGGCUAAUACCGGAUGUGGUGCGGAGACAUAAGUCUCUUCACUAAAGGUAGCUUCGGCUUCCGCAUUGGGAGGGGCCCGCGGCCCAUUAGCUUGUUGGUGGGGUCAAGGCCUACCAAGGCAACGAUGGGUAGCUGGUCGGAUAGGGCGAGCAGCCAGACGGGAAGUGAGACACGGUACAAACGCCUAGGGGAGGCAGCAAGGGGGAAUAGUGAGGAAUGGGCGAAAGCGUGACGGAGCAACGCCGGGUGAGGGAAGAAGGUCUGAGGAUCGGAAAACUCUGUUAGUAGGGACGAAGGAAGGCGGAAGGAAAUAUGAGCGGCUGGACGGGACCGUAAGAGAAAGCAACGGCUAACUACGUG